Molecule: ribosomal RNA, 253 nt
Filed under: uncultured bacterium
Lineage: Bacteria
Description: partial 16S ribosomal RNA
Rfam family: Bacterial small subunit ribosomal RNA
Source: RNAcentral
UACGAAGGUCCCAAGCGUUAUCCGGAUUUAUUGGGUUUAAAGGGUGCGUAGGCGGGUUAUUAAGUCAGUGGUGAAAGCCUACAGCUUAACUGUAGAACUGCCAUUGAUACUGAUGAUCUUGAGUAUGAUUGAGGUAGGCGGAAUGUGUCAUGUAGCGGUGAAAUGCUUAGAUAUGACACAGAACACCGAUUGCGAAGGCAGCUUACUAAGUCAUAACUGACGCUGAUGCACGAAAGCGUGGGGAGCAAACAGG